Molecule: ribosomal RNA, 1381 nt
Organism: Pan troglodytes (chimpanzee)
Lineage: Eukaryota; Metazoa; Chordata; Mammalia; Primates; Hominidae
Rfam family: Bacterial large subunit ribosomal RNA
Source: Rfam
AUAGGUGAUAGAAAUUUUUAUCCUUGUGCAAUAGACAUAGUACCAUAAGGGAAAGAUGAAAGAACUGUAUCAAGCACUAAAAAUCAAAGACAAGCCCUAUACCUUUUGCAUAAUGUAUUAACCAGAAAUAACUUUACACAGAGAACGACAGACAAGUCCCCUGAAACCAGAUGAGCUACCCAAGAAUAACUGAAAGAGCACACCCACCUAUGUGGCAAAAUAGUGGGAAGAUUGAUGAGUAGGGGGGACAAGCCUACCAAGCCUAGUGAAAGCUGGUUGUCCAAGAUAGAGUUUUAGUCCAACUUUAAACUUACCCACAGAAUUACUUAAUCUCCUUGUAAGUUUAACCGUUACUUUAAAGAGGGACAGCUCUUUAGACCGUAGGAAACAACCUUCUUAUAGAAAAUAAAAAAUAUUAUUACCACCAUACUUGGCCCAAAAGCAGCCACCAAUUAAGAAAGAGUUUAAGCUCAAUGUCUAACUACCUUAAAUUCUAAUCGCUCUACUGAGCUCCUAACAUCACGUUGGACUAAUCUAUUACUUAAUAGAAGCAAUAAUGUUAGUAUAAGUAACAUGAAGACAUUCUCCAUUGCAUAAGCUUACAGCAGACUGGAAUAACCCAUUGACAGUUAAUAGCCUAAUAUUAAUAAAUGAUACAAUAAGCACCCUAUUAUUUACACUGUUAACCCAACUCAGGUAAGCUCUAAGGAAAGAUUACAAAAAGUAAAAGAAACUCAGCAAAUCAUACCCUGACUGUUUACCAAAAACAUCACCUCUAGCAUUAACAGUAUCAGAGGCACUGCCUACCCAGUGACAUAUGUUUAACGGCCACAGUAUCCUGACAGUGCACAGGUAGCAUAAUCACUUGUUCCCUAAAUAGGGACUUGUAUGAAUGGUUACAUGAGGAUUCAGCUGUCUUACUUUUAAUCAGUGAAACUGACCUAUCCGUGAAGAAACAGAUAUAAACAAAUAAGAGAAGAAGACCCUAUGGAGCUUUAAUUCAUUAAUGCAAAUAGAAACUCAAACAAGCCUACAGGCCCUAGCCUACUAUCCUUGCAUUUAAAAUUUUGGUUGAGGUGACCUUGGAGCAUAAUUCAACCUCCGAACAACCUAAAUUAAGACUGCACUAGCCUAGGUGAGUUAAAACACACUGACCCAAUGAUUCAAUCAACAGAAUAAGUUACCCUAGGGAUAACAGCACAAUCCUAUUCUAGAGUUCAUAUCGACAAUAGGGUUUAUGACCUCGAUGUUGGAUCAGGACAUCCACAUGGUGUAGCCACUAUUAAGGGUUUGUCUGUUCAAAGAUUAAAGUCCUGUGUGAUCUGAGUUCAGACUAGAGUAAUCCAGGCCGGUUUCUAUCUAUUUAACAUUUCUCUUAGUA